RNAcentral lists this ribosomal RNA (253 nucleotides) under uncultured bacterium. RNAcentral describes it as "partial 16S ribosomal RNA". It matches the Rfam family "Bacterial small subunit ribosomal RNA", at positions 524 to 776 of the family's 1533-position model. The record is from RNAcentral.
UACGGAGGAUCCGAGCGUUAUCCGGAUUUAUUGGGUUUAAAGGGUGCGUAGGUGGGAUAUUAAGUCAGUGGUGAAAGCCCGCAGCUCAACUGCGGAACUGCCAUUGAUACUGAUGUUCUUGAGUACAGAUGGGGUAGGCGGAAUGUAUCAUGUAGCGGUGAAAUGCUUAGAUAUGAUACAGAACACCAAUCGCGAAGGCAGCUUACCAAACUGUUACUGACACUGAGGCACGAAAGCAUGGGUAGCGAACAGG